UCAAAGCAACACUCAGGGUGGAAAAUUUGCUGCUAAUCCCUCAGGUUUCUGUAAGUGUUUUAUCAACCAGAGAUUCUUCACCAGAUGACACCGGAGAUAAGGCGGAGGGAAAGACUCUACGUGAUGCCGGACGCAUAAUCCCGGCCAGAAGCAGAGAAAGGUGAAGAGGGGUGACACGCAGCGGUGGUGAGGGUGGUGUUUGUGGCCCUACAGCAGUCUGCCUGAUUACAUCGCCACACAAGCGUGUCUUCAAAGCCUUCCCCUCCCCACCGCCCAGUUUGACCAGAUAAGGGCCCCCUCUCGCUGUGGUUCAGCUGGGGGACAGGAAGACACACGAAGGGGUCAACAGUAGUGCCAUCUGCGCCUCAUGUUCAGCAAAUACUGCACAUCUCUGUCAACAGACCGUCUUACUGUACAAACACUUCCUCUGGUGAUCCUGCAGCCGGUUUGUUUGAUCGCUCCUGUAAGUUUUACCAGGUUGUUUUGAUUAAAACGACUUCAUUUUGAGCAACGAAGCCGGUGAUUAAAACUCUGAAGCCGUCUAUAAUUUCUUUACAUUUUUCUUCCAGGCAAACAGACUUUCUUGUAAUCUUUAAAGGGGCGGUAUUAUGCGUUUUCCAAGUACAUAGAGCCGCUAACAUAAAUCAACAUAACAUAAAUCAAGUAACCACAUUAGCUUCAUUUGGUAUAAAAAUGCUACAUAUAUCAAAUAAAUAUGACUUUGUAAUUUAAUGCCUUGAAAUUGGGUCUCUGUCUCUUUAAGAAGCUCCUGCUCUUUCUUAAACUCCGCCUUCAUAAAGUCAUCAUAACAUGGCUCCUUAAUUAGCCCUUUAACGACGUUUUAACCAGUAGCUCCUAUAAGGAGCUCAGCUGAUGUUCCACCAGAUGUUUGCUGAUUCCUGUUGGCUAGUCUGAAGGAGCUAAGUGGGGGAG
Long non-coding RNA from Poecilia latipinna (sailfin molly), 933 nucleotides. RefSeq lists it as uncharacterized. NCBI's taxonomy places the organism in Eukaryota, Metazoa, Chordata, Actinopteri, Cyprinodontiformes, Poeciliidae. The record is from RefSeq and is a predicted model, not a curated record. The transcript has 3 exons.